GCUCAGUCGGUAGAGCAUGGGACUCUUAAUCCCAGGGCAGUGGGUUCGUGCCCCAC
Molecule: transfer RNA, 56 nt
Filed under: Mesitornis unicolor (brown roatelo)
Lineage: Eukaryota; Metazoa; Chordata; Aves; Mesitornithiformes; Mesitornithidae
Rfam family: tRNA
About the family: Transfer RNA (tRNA) molecules are approximately 80 nucleotides in length. Their secondary structure includes four short double-helical elements and three loops (D, anti-codon, and T loops).
Source: Rfam by way of RNAcentral